This is a long non-coding RNA of Astyanax mexicanus (Mexican tetra), 352 nucleotides long. RefSeq lists it as uncharacterized. The transcript has 3 exons. The record is from RefSeq and is a predicted model, not a curated record. NCBI's taxonomy places the organism in Eukaryota, Metazoa, Chordata, Actinopteri, Characiformes, Acestrorhamphidae.
CAUCAGUUUAGUUUCGUUUAUCAGAGCGGAGGAGAUCAGAUCAGAUUCUCAGUAAACCGAAACUCUCUGCUCCUUUAUCUGCCUCUCCUCCAGUUCUCCUCCUCCACUGCUUCUUCUCCUCCUCCAGCCUGAGAGAGAGGAGAGCUGCUCUCAGCAUCUGCAGAUCAUGAGAACCAUCUUUACCAUUCCACCUCCACUCUAAACUACUAUACAUCUAUAAAAAGGAGAACAUACAAGUGGAACAAUGAGUCUUCCGGCAAGAAAAAGGAAGAAAAAAAAUGCAUUUGGAGCAACAUCGCCACCUUUUAUCGACUACCUGAAGGAGAUUUUGAGAAGGUACCCUGAUGGAGGA